This 250-nucleotide ribosomal RNA is filed under the name uncultured bacterium. RNAcentral describes it as "partial 16S ribosomal RNA". It matches the Rfam family "Bacterial small subunit ribosomal RNA", at positions 524 to 773 of the family's 1533-position model. The record is from RNAcentral.
UACGGGGGGGGUAAGCGUUGUUCGGAAUUACUGGGCGUAAAGGGCUCGUAGGCGGCCAACUAAGUCAUACGUGAAAUCCCUCAGCUUAACUGGGGAACUGCGUGUGAUACUGGAUGGCUUGGAUUUGGGAGAGGGAUGCGGAAUUCCAGGUGUAGCGGUGAAAUGCGUAGAUAUCUGGAGGAACACCGGUGGCGAAGGCGGCAUCCUGGACCAAUAUUGACGCUGAGGAGCGAAAGCCAGGGGAGCAAAC